GCCGGCGUGGCGCAAUUGGUUAGCGCGUCAGACUUUUACGGAACCGUAGAAGGCCAUCUGAAUGUUGCGAGUUCGAGUCUCGCCGUUGGCG
Molecule: transfer RNA, 91 nt
Rfam family: tRNA
About the family: Transfer RNA (tRNA) molecules are approximately 80 nucleotides in length. Their secondary structure includes four short double-helical elements and three loops (D, anti-codon, and T loops). Further hydrogen bonds mediate the characteristic L-shaped molecular structure. tRNAs have two regions of fundamental functional importance: the anti-codon, which is responsible for specific mRNA codon recognition, and the 3' end, to which the tRNAs corresponding amino acid is attached (by aminoacyl-tRNA synthetases). tRNAs cope with the degeneracy of the genetic code in two manners: having more than one tRNA (with a specific anti-codon) for a particular amino acid; and 'wobble' base-pairing, i.e. permitting non-standard base-pairing at the 3rd anti-codon position.
Source: Rfam